Molecule: ribosomal RNA, 468 nt
Filed under: uncultured bacterium
Lineage: Bacteria
Description: partial 16S ribosomal RNA
Rfam family: Bacterial small subunit ribosomal RNA
Source: RNAcentral
GACGAACGCUGGCGGCGUGCUUAACACAUGCAAGUCGAACGGAAAGGCCCUGCUUUUGUGGGGUGCUCGAGUGGCGAACGGGUGAGUAACACGUGAGUAACCUGCCCGUGACUUUGGGAUAACUUCAUGAAACUGGGGCUAAUACCGGAUAGGAGCUCCUGCUUCAUGGUGGGGGUUGGAAAGUUUCGGCGGUUGGGGAUGGACUCGCGGCUUAUCAGCUUGGUGGUGGGGUAGUGGCGUACCAAGGCUUUGACGGGUAGCCGGCCUGAGAGGGUGACCGGGCACAUUGGGACUGAGAUACGGCCCAGACUCCUACGGGACGCAGCAGUGGGGAAUAUUGCACAAUGGGCGGAAGCCUGAUGCAGAAACGCCGCGUGCGGGAUGACGGCCUUCGAGUUGUAAACCGCUUUCGCCUGUGACGAAGCGUGAGUGACGGUAAUGGGUAAAGAAGCAACGGCUAACUACGUG